CCUACGGGCGGCAGCAGUGGGGAAUAUUGGGCAAUGGGCGCAAGCCUGACCCAGCAACGCCGCGUGAAGGAAGAAGGCUUUCGGGUUGUACACUUCUUUUGUCAGGGACGAAGCAAGUGACGGUACCUGACGAAUAAGCCACGGCUAACUACGUGCCAGCAGCCGCGGUAAUACGUAGGUGGCAAGCGUUAUCCGGAUUUAUUGGGUGUAAAGGGCGUGUAGGCGGGAAUGCAAGUCAGAUGUGAGAACUAUGGGCGCAACCCAUAGCCUGCAUUUGAAACUGUAUUUCUUGAGUGCUGGAGAGGCAAUCGGAAUUCCGUGUGUAGCGGUGAAAUGCGUAGAUAUACGGAGGAACACCAGUGGCGAAGGCGGAUUGCUGGACAGUAACUGACGCUGAGGCGCGAAAGCGUGGGGAGCAAACAGGAUUAGAUACCCGGGUAGUC
Molecule: ribosomal RNA, 443 nt
Filed under: uncultured bacterium
Lineage: Bacteria
Description: partial 16S ribosomal RNA
Rfam family: Bacterial small subunit ribosomal RNA
Source: RNAcentral